This 75-nucleotide transfer RNA is filed under the name Acidobacteriota bacterium. RNAcentral's name for it is "tRNA-Thr". It matches the Rfam family "tRNA". Rfam says of the family: Transfer RNA (tRNA) molecules are approximately 80 nucleotides in length. Their secondary structure includes four short double-helical elements and three loops (D, anti-codon, and T loops). RNAcentral also lists the same sequence under 1 other name. Lineage: Bacteria; Pseudomonadati; Acidobacteriota. The record is from RNAcentral.
GCCAGAGUAGCUCAGUGGUAGAGCAGCUGAUUCGUAAUCAGCAGGUCGCAGGUUCAAAUCCUGUCUCUGGCUCCA